ACUCAAAUGAAUUGACGGGGACCCGCACAAGCGGUGGAGCAUGUUGUUCAAUUCGAAGCAACGCGAAGAACCUUACCUACCCUUGACAUGUCCCUUGGGACCCCGAGAGAUCGGGGUUUUCGGUUCGGCCGGGGGGAACACAGGUGCUGCAUGGCUGUCGUCAGCUCGUGUCGUGAGAUGUUGGGUUAAGUCCCGCAACGAGCGCAACCCUCAUCGUCUGUUGCCAUCAUUCAGUUGGGAACUCUGACGAGACUGCCGGUGACAAGCCGGAGGAAGGCGGGGAUGACGUCAAGUCAUCAUGGCCCUUACGGGUAGGGCCACAAACGUGCUACAAUGGCGGUGACAAUGGGUUGCGAGGCCGUAAGGCCAAGCCAAUCCCAAAAAGCCGUCUCAGUUCAGAUUGUCCUCUGCAACUCGAGGGCAUGAAGCUGGAAUCGCUAGUAAUCGUGGAUCAGCACGCCACGGUGAAUACGUUCCCGGGUCUUGUACACACCGCCCGU
RNAcentral lists this ribosomal RNA (500 nucleotides) under uncultured bacterium. RNAcentral describes it as "partial 16S ribosomal RNA". It matches the Rfam family "Bacterial small subunit ribosomal RNA", at positions 899 to 1397 of the family's 1533-position model. The record is from RNAcentral.